GGUGCUGUGGUCCAGUAAGUUAUAUCACGUGCUCUCAGUGUGCCUGAACCACUUCUAACAAAAUCCUCAGAUGGUUAAGAUGACUCGUUGUGGCCGAGUUGGUCCCGGUUCGAUUCCGGGCAGCGCCA
RNAcentral lists this transfer RNA (128 nucleotides) under Penicillium paxilli ATCC 26601. RNAcentral's name for it is "tRNA-His (GTG) (tRNA-His-GTG-3-1, tRNA-His-GTG-3-2)". Lineage: Eukaryota; Fungi; Ascomycota; Eurotiomycetes; Eurotiales; Aspergillaceae. The record is from RNAcentral.